RNAcentral lists this long non-coding RNA (630 nucleotides) under Mytilus galloprovincialis (Mediterranean mussel). Lineage: Eukaryota; Metazoa; Mollusca; Bivalvia; Mytilida; Mytilidae. The record is from RNAcentral.
UUUAAAAUUAUUUGGAUCAUUUUCAUAUCUUUUGAAACAGUUCCAUAAUGAUGACAUCGUAUUUUAGGGGGGGGGGUCUCAUUUCAUGAAUGGUCUAUUAUCAACUUAUUUUCAAAAACGCUCAAACUUUUGUCUUUUGCGGAAAAAAGUGCAAAAUAUAAAAUAAUUUCUUUUACAAAACAAGUUUUAAUCAAAUUACAUAACCGGCUCUGCUGAGCGAUCUGCUUACUAUUAAAAUUCAUUCAUCAAUAUGUUAUAUCAAAAUUUGAAAACUUGAAUUUGCUCUUUGCCAAGGUCUGUUUUGACACCCAUUUUGACAAAAAGCAUAUUUUUGAUCAACCUGCUGAGCGAUAUACUUUUACGAGACCAAAAACUCCGAUAACAUUUUAACUGCAAUUGAAUCCGGCCGCCAAAAUUGUUUACCUCAUGUUGACAUAAUUAAAUCGUUUGUUAAUAAAAUGGGAUCAUAGUCAGCAUUCUUAUCCGGAUUUUACUACGCUUUAACGACAAACUCAGGGGUUCACGCAAUUAUACUUGCUGUAAUCAGUAACGGAAACUUUUCCGGAAAUACCGACUUCUGUUUUAUUUUCCUGAAUUGGGAAUUUAUAUUUCAAACAUUUUUUUUGGGGG